Molecule: ribosomal RNA, 953 nt
Filed under: uncultured organism
Description: bacterial SSU rRNA
Rfam family: Bacterial small subunit ribosomal RNA
Source: RNAcentral
GAAUAAGAGGUUGCUAACUCUGUGCCAGCAGCAGCGGUAAUACAGAGACCUCGAGCGUUAUCCGGAUUUACUGGGCGUAAAGCGUCUGUAGGGGGUUUGUUAAGUUCCAAGUAAAAUCUUAAGGCUCAACUUUAAGUUCGCUUGGAAAACUAAUAAACUGGAGUCCAGCAGAGGUGCAUGGAACUUGCGGUGUAGGAGUGAAAUCCGUUGAUAUCGCAAGGAACACCAAAGGCGAAGGCAUUGCACUGGGCUGGUACUGACCCUGAGAGACGAAAGCGUGGGGAGCAAAACGGAUUAGAUACCCGUGUAGUCCACGCCGUAAACGAUGGAUACUAGAUUGUUCGGGGAUUCGACCCCCGCUUGGGUGNUUCCACAGCUAACGCGUUAAGUUAAAUCCCGCCUGGGAAGUACGGCCGCCAAAGGGCUUAAAAAAGCUCAAAAGGAAUAGACGGGGAUCCGCACAAGCGGUGGAGCGUUUCUGCGUUAAUUUGAUAGUUAANGCAAUGGACCUUCAANCCAAGGGUUGACAUCCUAUGACAACCCCUGGGAAACAGGGGCUUCCUUCGGGCAUAGUGACAGGUGCUGCAUGGUGUCGUCAGUUUCGUGCCGUGAGGUGUUCACGUUAAGUCGGGAAACGAACGAAACCCUCGUCGCAUGUUACAAAUUUCAAAAUGCNGAGACUGCACCAGGGUCAACCGGGAGGAAGGGCCCGNGGGGGGGAAAANUNGACGUCAGANNUCAGCNAUGGCCCUUAUACCUUGGGCUACACAGGCGCUACAAUGCCGGUACAAAGGGUUGCAAAACCGCGAGGUGAAGCUAAUCCCAUAAAGCCGGUCCCAAGUUUCCGGAUUUUGGAAAGGGCUUGCAANANCUCGCCUCCAUGAAGUUGGAAUCGCUAGUAAUCGUGGAUCAGCCAUACCACGGUGAUACGUUCCCGGAUCUUGUACUCACCG